AACGAACGCUGGCGGCAGGCCUAACACAUGCAAGUCGAGCGAGGACUUCGGUCCUAGCGACGGACGGGCGAGUAACGCGUGGGAACGUGCCCUUUGCUUCGGAAUAGCCCUGGGAAACUGGGAGUAAUACCGGAUGAGCCCUUUGGGGGAAAGAUUUAUCGGCGAAGGAUCGGCCCGCGUUGGAUUUGGUAGUUGGUGGGGUAAUGGCCUACCAAGCCGACGAUCCAUAGCUGGUUUGAGAGGAUGAUCAGCCACACUGGGACUGAGACACGGCCCAGACUCCUACGGGAGGCAGCAGUGGGGAAUCUUAGACAAUGGGGGAAACCCUGAUCUAGCCAUGCCGCGUGAGCGAUGAAGGCCUUAGGGUUGUAAAGCUCUUUCAGCUGGGAAGAUAAUGACGGUACCAGCAGAAGAAGCCCCGGCUAACUCCGUG
Molecule: ribosomal RNA, 433 nt
Filed under: uncultured bacterium
Lineage: Bacteria
Description: partial 16S ribosomal RNA
Rfam family: Bacterial small subunit ribosomal RNA
Source: RNAcentral